GCAGCCUUUCCCUACAUUUCUGCAAGAGGCUGUUUCCAGGACUUGAACCGGUGACCUCAUGGUCACAAGGCAGCAGCUUUACCACUGCGCCAAGGCUCCGCGUCGGUGCUGCAUAUAGGGUUCUAAAAUAAGGUUGGUUAAGCUUUGUUAUGAUAUGCCAGUACAAUAAGUUUUCACUGCAUUGGAUAUAACAUAUUUAACUAGCAUCACACAAUGAAGUAAUUUAACUUAAUUUAAAAGAGCAACAAAAUUAUUGCCAUCUUUCUGUAAAAGGUCUAGAAAAUACGAGUUUAAGCUUCCAAUCCUUUGGUUCCUAGGGAACAUAUAGUUCAGUUUGAACAGUUCAUGAUGAAAACAUAUUACUGCUGGUAUUGGUUCUGGAGCAGUCAAUUUUUUGAAUACUUCUAUUAUUUCUACUGGGUAUGAUAUCUCCUCCUAAUGUCUCAGUUGGUACUCUCCGCUCACCGGUUAAAUUUCGUCCCACCAAACCUGUUUUUUUUCGUACCUCCUCCCACCUCACUGUGAGCCGCGUCGAAUCAAAAAAACCUCGUAGCGACCCCCCACGCAGUCCAGUUGCUAUCCUCCCGUCGCACCCAAGAAAAACAGAUGAAAAAAAUCUACAAAAUAAAACCUACGUAAAUUAACCAACGAAAAAAACCCCAAACCAAUCGCACGCGCGCGGAGGCCUCCCACCCUCGAGCGAGAACCACUCGCACGCACGACUCUCUGCCCUCGUUCGUCGCUGCCGCCGCUCCAUCCUUCGCCGCCGCCCUCGCACAUCAAAGCCGGCGUCGCUCCAUUCUUCACCUCCGCUCCAGAUCCGAGCCGCCAUUGAGCCCUUCUACAUCAGUGACCAGUUAAGACAUGGCCGCGCUGUAUGAGUCACCGGCGGCCGGCUGCGUGCUGGAGGUGGACGCGGCGCUGCUCGCGGAGAUGUGUGGCCGGAUCGAUGAGGAGACCAAGAAGUUCGACGAGAACCGCUCUUGUGAGAUCUGGAGGCAAUCAAAAGCAGGAAGGGGAGAUCGAUGCUUGGGGUUGACAUCCAAUGACCCAGGCAUCACCCUCUCCUGACGUCUUACUACAAGCCCACAGCCACUGCCUCCUCGAUCUACGCUAGCCUGCAGCAGCAAGAUUUGGAUUCAUCAUGACUUAUCUAAGCAGAGAGAUCAUAGCACUGAUUUACGUGACCUCAGACCACUUGAGCACCGAGCAGUCUCUUCCUACAGAACAAAUAGAGGGAUUUCCUGACAAUCAAAUGCAAAGUUUGCCACUUGCACUACUGAUUAUAUAUGUUGCAUAGUGUACCAAUUUGAUGAUGUGCUCAUGACUGAUCUUCCUUGGACAGAACAAGGAAUUUAGGGUGCUCCAAGUAAUGAGCUUGAUGCUGCUUCAAGGCUGGAAGAGACAUUCAACUUCUAGCAUACUACAAGUCCUGAUGUAGCUAAGCUUUUUCACAUUGACCCUGAAGCCAAGUGCACCUCUCUAGUCUUUGUUGGAGCUGAUUGCCAACUCCUCUUCUUCUUCGUCUAGCUUCCUCUCAAAGCUCACGCAAGAACAAAAGAACACAAAUAUUUGGUGGCCGCUGUAUCACACAGCCGACCCUUUUCUCUUCUCUGUAUACUUUUCUCAAAGCAAAUAUGCGUACAAGUGCUUAAGUAGACUCAGCCCACGCAGCCGGGCCACACACUCGCCCACUAACUGCAUGCACGCACCCACUCACACCACUAACUAAUGACCUGAUCUUCUCCUAGAAUCACUCUAGGAACCACACGACCCGGCCACUCAUGCAACAACAGCUAGCAACCUCGGACAUGCAUACACAGCAGCCUCUCGCCACCGUUCGGCAUAUCUCGCCAUGCGCCAUAUCUCACGGCUCCUCGCAUCUCACCUCCUGCAUGUUCUCCGAGGCUCCACCUGCUACAACUACCUAUAUGCAUGGACAAGCAAACUAAUAUGCAGAUACAUGUGAAUCAAGAUUAACAAAGCUAACAGUCUUGCCUUGCUGAAGAAAGAGGAGGAGAAGUUGAACGUAUAAGGUAUUUUCAUCACUAACUUGGUUCAGCUUCCAGCAGCCUUUCUAUGUAUAUUAGAUGAUUUUGGCCUAUGAAUUCGAUAUAAAUGUACCAUUCAUUGUGCUGACAGCGAGUUCAGAGCAAUCUGCCAUUGCCGAAUUCAUGUCAGUUAACACACUUCCACUGAUCACGACCCUCACACAGGAAAAUGCAUCUGCGAUAUUUGAUAGUCCAGUCAAGAAAGAAAUUUGUUCUCGUCCUCCUCUAUUUUGCAAUAACUCGUUCAGUUUGCGUCGAUCCUUCGUUUCCUUUUCCUAUCAAGGCUGGUAGUUAUUCCUCUUCUUGAUUGUUUUGUGUGUUGUCACAUGCGUCGUGGCCGGAGGCCACGUGAAACCCACCUCCGCCGCCAGGGGCGACCACUAUUUCCUCUUGCUUCACUGCCUUGUAGCCAAGGAGAUCAUGCCUCUUGCUUCACUGCCUUGUAGCCAAGGAGAUCAU
Triticum dicoccoides is the source of this 2510-nucleotide long non-coding RNA. RefSeq lists it as uncharacterized. NCBI's taxonomy places the organism in Eukaryota, Viridiplantae, Streptophyta, Magnoliopsida, Poales, Poaceae. The record is from RefSeq and is a predicted model, not a curated record. The transcript is spliced from 6 exons.